AUGAGAACAGUCAACACCAGCUCGUUGCCUUUGAUCUUUCUUCGCAGUCUCCCAGAUGUAUUCAGAGCAUUCACACCGUGCUCAAGAGGAGCUGGAACUGGACUGUUUGCAGCAAAGAAAGAAACCGGCAGUGCUCCGUGCGGUGCUGAGGACACAAAGCAAGCGGCUGAGGACUGCGAUGCAAGAGUAAAGCUGCCCUCUGCAGGUUACUCUGUCACACAAAAUAAAUCACGGAGAAAUGAAGUGGUUCUCCUGUGUGUUGCUAACAGAUUGCCUUAA
RNAcentral lists this long non-coding RNA (279 nucleotides) under Anas platyrhynchos platyrhynchos (common mallard). RNAcentral describes it as "lncRNA (ENSAPLG00000020886.1)". The record is from RNAcentral. Lineage: Eukaryota; Metazoa; Chordata; Aves; Anseriformes; Anatidae.